UGUACUAGAUGCUCUUUGACAGAGAACACUGAACAAAAUAAGCUGACAAUUCAAUGCAGUAUGAUCAUCCUUAUCAGUACAAGAAUAUUACUUUUAAUUACUUUAUUUGAAAAUGGCAGUAACAGCCUAUUAACCUGGAAAUUAACUCUGGACAACUGUUCCUAUGAGCGUUAGCUCCCUGGUUAUGCCAGGAUCCAAGGUCCAUGAACAACAGGCAACACCUUCAUUGAUUCAACCUGGUGCUUGUAUAUCUGCUCUGUUUUACAAGGCAUUUGAGUCCAUUCAAUAGCAGCAGCCACCAGGUUACACCAAGUAGAAGACAACACUAUUUCCCAUCAAGCUUGUCAUUUCAACAAUGCAUUUUAAACAACCUGCUAUGUAGUGCAAGAGG
Long non-coding RNA from Chiroxiphia lanceolata (lance-tailed manakin), 391 nucleotides. RefSeq lists it as uncharacterized. The record is from RefSeq and is a predicted model, not a curated record. The transcript is spliced from 3 exons. NCBI's taxonomy places the organism in Eukaryota, Metazoa, Chordata, Aves, Passeriformes, Pipridae.